AUUGAACGCUGGCGGCAGGCCUAACACAUGCAAGUCGAGCGAGCGGCGGACGGGUGAGUAAUGUAUGGGGACUGCCCGAUAGAGGGGGAUAACUACUGGAAACGGUAGCUAAUACCGCAUACUAUCGGAUAACCCAUAUGGGAUUAGCUAGUAGGUGAGGUAAUGGCUCACCUAGGCGACGAUCCCUAGCUGGUCUGAGAGGAUGAUCAGCAACACUGGUACUGAGACACGGCCCAGACUCCUACGGAGGCAGCAGUGGGGAAUAUUGCACAAGGGGCGCAAGCCUGAUGCAGCCAGUCCGCGUGUAGGAAGAAGGCCCUAGGGGUGUAAAGUACUUUCAGUCGGGAGUCGUUACCGACAGAAGAAGCACCGGCUAACUCCGUGCCAGCAGCCGCGGUAAUUC
Molecule: ribosomal RNA, 403 nt
Filed under: uncultured bacterium
Lineage: Bacteria
Description: partial 16S ribosomal RNA
Rfam family: Bacterial small subunit ribosomal RNA
Source: RNAcentral